ACUCUAAACCUUCAUCUACCUCACAUAGCCUCUAAGACAACCCUUCUUCCACUAUGUAAUAAACCUUUCCAAUCCCCCCAUCCACGAUAUUCCAUGGCAAGGGUUUGCUAAUUCGACAUCGCAAGCAACUAAUUGUCGAAAUGGCUUAGCGCUAGGGUUCACUGCAACGAUGAGUCGACGGAGAACAUGUAGUUCGAGUCAGACGAAGAAGGUGAGCACAAAGACGAAGAGAGAUACAUAGGAGACACAGAGCAGAUUCCAGUGACAGUGUCGGUCACGCAAAGGUGGUGGCGCAACACACGUUGGAGCUCGACGGAGGCUGCCAUAGCUCCGACAGCGAUGGUGAAAGAGGAAAAUCCAAAUUGAUGACUACAUAACACACAACUUGCCAUUUGAUGACAUUAAUAAAGCUUUCAAUCUCAUGAAGGAAGGAAAGUGUCUGCAUUGUGUUAUCCACAUGCCAACAGUUUUGUGAAUCUUAGAGUAUUAAAUUUUUGCACCAGUGAUGAACGAGAAAGUUUCUAUCCUUCAAGACGACAGUUUUCUUGAUCAACGAGACAAAUAUGGAUAUUAAUGCUCAGAACUUUGGAGGGAUCACAACAUUUGACAUCCUAGUUCAUUCUAAGGACAAUGCAGAGAAUAGGCAAUUGAAAGCCACUUUUAUCAGAACUGGUGCUAGAAGAAACGUCCAAUAUGUGUCUCCAGUAGCAUCUAGUCUUUUUAUGUCAUGGAGGUUUACACCUAAUCCAGUGGAAUUGCUAAAUCAAAAUGAAUUGGUUACUUGUUAUAACUUUGCAAGUUCAGCACAAGUUGGCACAAGCACCAAAUCUAGAUCACCUUCCCGACCUCAAUCGAGUGAGAUAAUUGAGAAUGGAAACUAUAAACCAUAUUACUAUUCCCUAACAAAUUCAGGGCAACAGAAGAAGUGUCAAACCAAAAGAAAAGUGGAAAAUCUAAAUCAAUUUUGCUAUAGUCCCUUGGUGUAACUUUUGUUGCUGGUAUUAGCCCUUUGGUGGUGUAUACCAAGAAGGACCAGUGAAAUAACUAAGAAGAAACUGAUUAUGCUACAAAUUAGUAUUUGAAAGUGUGUUGUUUUACAUUAUUUUACCUUAAGUUGUAAACAAUGUACUUUUAUCCUUUAAUGAAUGCUAUAUUGAGGAUAAUACCAUCAUUUUAGAAUUUUAGAAUA
Vigna unguiculata (cowpea) is the source of this 1189-nucleotide long non-coding RNA. RefSeq lists it as uncharacterized. The record is from RefSeq and is a predicted model, not a curated record. NCBI's taxonomy places the organism in Eukaryota, Viridiplantae, Streptophyta, Magnoliopsida, Fabales, Fabaceae.